AGUACGACCGCAAGGUUAAAACUCAAAUGAAUUGACGGGGACCCGCACAAGUAGUGGAGCAUGUGGUUUAAUUCGAAGAUACGCGCAGAACCUUACCAACACUUGACAUGUUCGUCGCGACUCUAAGAGAUUAGAGUUUUCGGUUCGGCCGGACGAAACACAGGUGCUGCAUGGCUGUCGUCAGCUCGUGUCGUGAGAUGUUGGGUUAAGUCCCGCAACGAGCGCAACCCUCACUUUUAGUUGCCAUCAUUAAGUUGGGCACUCUGAAAGAACUGCCAGUGAUAAGCUGGAGGAAGGUGGGGAUGACGUCAAGUCCUCAUGGCCCUUACGUGUUGGGCUACACACGUGCUACAAUGGCAUCUACAACAGGAAGCAAAACGGCAACGUUAAGCAAAUCCCGAAAAGAUGCCUCAGUUCGGAUUGCACUCUGCAACUCGAGUGCAUGAAGCUGGAAUUACUAGUAAUCGUGGAUCAGCGUGCCACGGUGAAUGCGUUCCCGGGUCUUGUAUACACCGCCCGUCACACCAUGGGAGUUGGUUCUACCUUAAGGCAAGGUUUCAAACCCUUGACCACGGUAUAGUCAGCGACUGGGGUGAAGUCGUAACAAGGUAACC
RNAcentral lists this ribosomal RNA (614 nucleotides) under uncultured marine bacterium. RNAcentral describes it as "bacterial SSU rRNA". It matches the Rfam family "Bacterial small subunit ribosomal RNA", at positions 879 to 1501 of the family's 1533-position model. The record is from RNAcentral.